CCUACGGGAGGCAGCAGUGGGGAAUUUUGGACAAUGGGGGCAACCCUGAUCCAGCCAUGCCGCGUGCGGGACGAAGGCCUUCGGGUUGUAAACCGCUUUCAGACGGAAAGAAACAGCACAAGAUAAUACCUUGUGCGAAUGACGGUACCGUCAGAAGAAGCACCGGCUAACUACGUGCCAGCAGCCGCGGUAAUACGUAGGGUGCGAGCGUUAAUCGGAAUUACUGGGCGUAAAGAGUGCGCAGGCGGCUCUUUAAGACAGGUGUGAAAUCCCCGGGCUUAACCUGGGAAUGGCGCUUGUGACUGGAGAGCUAGAGUGUGGCAGAGGGGAAUGGAAUUCCUGGUGUAGCAGUGAAAUGCGUAGAUAUCAGGAGGAACACCAAUGGCGAAGGCAGUUCCCUGGGCCAACACUGACGCUCAUGCACGAAAGCGUGGGGAGCAAACAGGAUUAGAUACCCUGGUAGUCCACGCCCUAAACGAUGUCAACUAGUUGUUGGGGGAGGAGACUCCUUUAGUAACGAAGCUAACGCGUGAAGUUGACCGCCUGGGGAGUACGGCCGCAAGGCUAAAACUCAAAGGAAUUGACGGGG
This 589-nucleotide ribosomal RNA is filed under the name uncultured bacterium. RNAcentral describes it as "bacterial SSU rRNA". It matches the Rfam family "Bacterial small subunit ribosomal RNA", at positions 338 to 918 of the family's 1533-position model. The record is from RNAcentral.